This 26-nucleotide non-coding RNA is filed under the name Homo sapiens (human). Lineage: Eukaryota; Metazoa; Chordata; Mammalia; Primates; Hominidae. The record is from RNAcentral.
UGGUAGGUGCCGGUGGGUUGAUGCCA